Xyrichtys novacula (pearly razorfish) is the source of this 3366-nucleotide non-coding RNA. The record is from the annotation of a GenBank genome assembly. Lineage: Eukaryota; Metazoa; Chordata; Actinopteri; Labriformes; Labridae.
UGGAGACAAUAGAGCUGGAGAGGCACCACCAGUAUCAUUUGCUGUGCGCUCAUCCAGUGAGUUGGCUUUGUUUAAAAUGUUAUACACCUCAUCUUUGAUUUAUUAUUCUGACUUAUAUAUAACUUUAUAGCUAAGAUAUGGUUAAGCUCUGAUAUUAUUGAUGGAAAUAAUGAUAUUGAUCCUGUUUGUAUUUAAUUUAUUUCACUUUUGUUAUUCCUUUCUCAACCUCUCCAGAGAAACCAGCUGAAUGCAUAAAUAAAAACUCUGGAUUGAAGCUCCCUCCCACGUGCUUUUUUGUCUUGCAGACAAACCAAUGAGUUGAACUUCACCUUAAAUCAAUCAUAAUAACCCUUACAGACUAAUAUCCUUCAGUAACUGAAUUAUUUCUAUUUAUUUAUUUUGCAGGAUUUGGGUUUUGGGUUGUUGCUCUGGGAGGUAGACCCCUCUCAGCUUCUAAACUCAGCUUGAUACCUCAACUUUAAUAAAACUUCUACUUGAAGUUUGAUCGGGUUUACUUUGGAUGGAUCUUUAUUUUUUUAUAGACAUGACUUUGCAACUGCCUGGGAAUUUUGGUCAAUAUUAUUGUUAUCAUUUUAGUCUUAUCUGUAUCUCUAUCAGAGUUGUUAUCUUUGUUGCUGACUUUUGGACAGCCUCCCCCUCUUUCUUUUUUCAUCUCUGUCUCUUAACCCCGACGGUCACGAAGUUAAGAAGUUUUUAAGAAGAAAACAAAUCUCAAGUACGGUCUCUCUUGAGGUUUCUCCCUGUGAAAAUAAGUUUCUUUUUCUUUUCAUUGCCACUUAUUGCUUACUAGUAGUAAAAAUACUAAAUAUUUGUCAAAAGUUUCCUUUACAGUAUUUUUUAUAAUUGUUGUCCAGAGAAGACUAGUCAUUAAUAUAUCAUAUUUAGUCAUUUACAUACAGCUGUAUAGCUAUAAUUGACUUGAUUCAUUGUAGUUCUAUGAGCAUUUAAGUGAAGCAAAAACAAACCUUUACUGCCAGUACACACUAGAUGGAGCUGCAGGAUUGAAGACCGGAUGUAAAGCCGGACAGUGAGUUCAAAACAUACAGUACAUGUGGAUUAUAGAGCGCAGAAAACUAAGUCCUGAGUGAUUAUUUUCAUGUAGUUAUUCUCUUUAUUUUGUACCGGAGUAAUCUCUUAGUGGUCUUAAACCUGAAGUCAUUGAGCAGGUUGCUCUCUGGCUGAAGUCUGAAAUGCUGUUCAAACCGAACGAGAGGAACUUUAAAGUAAAUUUUGAGAUUGUUUAGAAAAUACUCGUUCCUGUUUUGUAGAGGCGUGUCCGGAGAUCCAUGUCUGACUGGGAAAACCAAUAAUAGUUCUGGAGUGGUCACGUAGAUUCACCUUCUGGGCACGCCACUGUCUCUUGGCUCCCUGCGAACCUUUAAUCCUUCUCCUCAAGAGGUUCAUUUCCAACCGGACAAUAAAAGGGAACAUUACGCACGGUGGGCGACGGGGUCAAAAACAUUGUUCUGCCUGUCAGGAAAAUAAAUGAGCGUACUAUUUUUGCAGUGAUUGGAGCACACAAGUUCUAGGUUGUGAGAACAAUGUUGAAAGUCUCCCGCCGGGGGAAUGUAAGUGCAGCAUAUUAUGUUUUAUAAUGAUGUUUUGAUUCUCUGUGUUUUCCUGAUUGUAGGGCAGGUAUGGUCAGUGUAGCGCUGUUGAGUUUGGAAGCAUGUCUGAAGUUACAUGAGGACACUCGCUCUUAGUGCUGGAGUCAAUCACAGGUGAGCAGUGUUGGCAUACAUGAGAUGACUGGACAGAGUCAGGCUGCUAAAUCAUUCACGUGUCACAUUGAAGGUAAGGAGCAAACCUGUUGCUUGCUGUGAAGUAAAAAUAAUCAUAGAAAGUCACAAAGUACAUUGGAAAAAGCACUUUGAUUAGGUUAGGAUCGAUUUGAAUGAAGUUAGCUGCCUUUGAUGGGUAUGAGAUGGUAAGAAAAUUAGAGAAAUAUCUUUGUUAAUCUUAAAGAUCUUGCUUUCGAAUUCAAAUAUAUAUGAAUAUGUGAAUAUCUAUAACACGGAGUCUGAUAAACUAGCUGCUGCUGAGGUACUAGUGGCCCAGAGGUCUAAGUGCUCUAUGUAUGGUGGCUUUAGUCCUCAUUGCAGUGGUUGCUGGUUUGAAUCUUGGCCACGCCUCCUUUGCUGCAUGCCUUCCCCCACUCCCCAACUCACUCAUUUCCUGUCUAAUAAAAAUUCCCCCUAACUACCGGACUUUAAAGCUACUGUGAGGAAUUUUCACUUUGCGUUGAUUUUGGCGCCCCCUAUGGAUACCAAUUGGCUGAUUCUGUUCUGUGCUUCCUGAGGUAGACAGCAAACUUCGUCCAGCUUCUUUUUAAUGCUCAAAUGUGUCACCCAUUGUGAGUAUUUGCUGCUGAAAACAAACAGCUAAUUCUUCAGUGUGCAGUUAAUCAUCUGGCCUGACUCUUACCCCAUCACCGUUGUAACAAGCAUUAAAAAUGCUGGUCCCGUUUGUUUGAUAUGUUAAAGAAAAGCCUCAAUAUUGAUUUGUUUCUGUUUCACAACCAGUGAAAAACUCAUUGAAGGAGCUAAAAAUUAAAUAAAUCAAAAUUUCAGUUAACUGUGCCUUUACACAACAAUUCAUUCACCUGCAUUAUUUAUUUUCUCACCCUGAGAGCAAAUUUCUUCUAUUUUUUUCCACAUGGUAAUCCUGUAAAUGCUUUCCUCUAUGAACUGCGCUUACUAAUCUGUGUGUCACUUUCCACUGGAAAGACAUUAAUGCUUAAAUAAGUACACCACACAUAAUGGGAUUAAGUACAAAUGAUAUAAGACUGUUAUUAUGUAUAUCAUCUUACUGUUAUGUCAAGAGCCAGUGUGUGCAUUACAUGAACUGUUGAACUUAUAAUAAACAUGUCUCUGCUGACAGUUAAGUCUCCGUCUUUAUUAGGUAUCACUAUUACAGAUGUAACUGUGGGAAAACUGAGUUGCCCCACAGGAUCGUUAUACAGUCUGAUGGUUUCCCCGGCAUCAUACAACUUAAGUCAAUGUUAUACAUGAACAUGUGUGGCUGGGAGUAGAGGGGCCUCUUUACUCUCAGACACUCCAGUAACAUAAACCGACUUCGGUGGAGGAUAAAAUAGAUGUUUAUCUGUGAUUUCAUAAGGUUAAUGGAUACAGAAUUAAAGACUCCUUAGCUGUAAUGUCCAACAGUAAAGAGGAAUACAUUAUUGGUGGUGUAGCUGACUGAUGAGGAAACUGGUACCACUCCACUCAAAGAUAAAGCUCUUGAAUCGUAUCAUAUUCUAUUGUAUCGUGUUGUAUUUUAUUGUAUCAUAUCAUUUUAUGGCGUAUCUUAUUGUACUGUAUUCCAUCAUAGUGCAUAGUAUCGUAC